RNAcentral lists this unclassified non-coding RNA (301 nucleotides) under Glomus sp. RNAcentral's name for it is "partial contains 5.8S ribosomal RNA and internal transcribed spacer 2". The stretch from base 1 to 65 matches the Rfam family "5.8S ribosomal RNA", at positions 84 to 154 of the family's 154-position model. Lineage: Eukaryota; Fungi; Glomeromycota; Glomeromycetes; Glomerales; Glomeraceae. The record is from RNAcentral.
GUGAAUCAUCGAAUCUUUGAACGCAAAUUGCACUCUCCUCGGAGAGUAUGCCUGUUUGAGUGUCAGCCUCUAAAAAUCGACAUCGUUUCUGUCUCGCGGUGGCGUUCGUCGGCUAUUGUGUCAUCUUACAUCCUUUUGGUUUUUAAGCGACUUAAAAUUUUCUUUUUGGUUCCAUGAACGUUUCUAAGCUUUAUUUCUUUACACGUUUAAGGUAUCGAUUUUUAUUAUACGUGACCAUCAUAUCGUAUCGCGUCCAUAAUCUUUCAUUAACUGACCUCCGACAGGUAAGAGUACCCGCUGA